RNAcentral lists this long non-coding RNA (547 nucleotides) under Androctonus crassicauda. The record is from RNAcentral. Lineage: Eukaryota; Metazoa; Arthropoda; Arachnida; Scorpiones; Buthidae.
CUUUGGAACUGUUCUCUGGGGGGUCUUUGUUGUUCAGCAUAGUGGCGCUUUCGGCUAUACAGCCGUCCUCAGCUGAAAUGAUUUUCUCGAUGUUUUUGAAUGGAAGCUGUAAGAUUAGAGUUUCCGUUCAAAAACAUUGAGAGGGGUAUUUCAGCUGAGGAUGGUUGUAUAGCCGAGAGCGCUGCUAUGUUGAAUGAUGGAGACUUCUUGGGGAGUGGUUCCAGGGGUCUGCUCGGUAGUGCUGACGAUAGAGUAUUAUUUUCACUAGGGAUAUUUGGUUUUGGCCACUUCAGAGCUCAUCACAAGCUGGCUAACACUCAUGAUAGAAUUAUUGCCAUAGGCAUUGAUCAAUGUGCUCAUUCCUUCUAAAAAAACUUUAAAUAAUCAAUUUUUGUUCUAACUUGUAAGCCAUUCUUAAUGUUCUAGUAAUAUAAUAAUAAUGGUUAAAUAUACAGAGUGUCUGAAAAGUGUCUUUACAUUUUUAAAAAAUCCAUUAAAAAGAAACAAAGAAGGAUGUGCAUUUACUAUUUUUUGUAUUCGAUAAAGA